RNAcentral lists this ribosomal RNA (253 nucleotides) under uncultured bacterium. RNAcentral's name for it is "partial 16S ribosomal RNA". It matches the Rfam family "Bacterial small subunit ribosomal RNA", at positions 524 to 776 of the family's 1533-position model. The record is from RNAcentral.
GACGUAGGGGGCGAGCGUUGUCCGGAUUCAUUGGGCGUAAAGCGCGCGUAGGCGGCUGCGCAAGUCGGGUGUGAAACCCCGGGGCUCAACCCCGGAACUGCAUCCGAUACUGCGUGGCUAGAGGUAGGUAGGGGAGAUCGGAAUUCCUGGUGUAGCGGUGAAAUGCGCAGAUAUCGGGAAGAACACCCGUGGCGAAGGCGGUUCUCUGGGACGGUACUGACGCUGAGACGCGAAAGCGUGGGGAGCGAACAGG